RNAcentral lists this transfer RNA (37 nucleotides) under Apodemus witherbyi (Steppe field mouse). Its description in RNAcentral is "partial tRNA-Thr". Lineage: Eukaryota; Metazoa; Chordata; Mammalia; Rodentia; Muridae. The record is from RNAcentral.
GUAAACCAAAAAUGAAGAAUUACAUCUUCUCAGGACA